GGGAAUGGCCUUGUGUGAAUCAAUUCAUUCCUGUACUUAAACACACGCACAUCGCCGUGUGUCCGGAAUCUAAUCUGGACGCUGGCUCUUAGUCGUGACUUAAGGGGUUGUUACGUUGAUACUGGAGGGUAGAUUAGCGAGAGAAACGCGCAUUUUUGCGAGAAAAUUGUUUUAUCUUGCAUAGACCAUUGCUCAAGUUACGCUCUAUCUUAUUGCCGACUGAAAUGUCGUGUAAUUAAUUCGCUCGCGUAAAAUCGUAAGUCAUGGAAGAAUUUAAGUCUGCCAUUUACGACGCACAGAGAUACGUGGCGAAUGAAAAGUUGAAUACACAAAUUUUUAAGAAGCUGAUAAGGUGGGAAUUCACUGAACAAAAUCUGUAUCUUUAAGACAGAACUCUUUGGUUAAAGUAUAUAGAAAUUGC
This 421-nucleotide unclassified non-coding RNA is filed under the name Bombus terrestris (buff-tailed bumblebee). RNAcentral describes it as "misc RNA ENSBTSG00005029621.1". Lineage: Eukaryota; Metazoa; Arthropoda; Insecta; Hymenoptera; Apidae. The record is from RNAcentral.